This 503-nucleotide ribosomal RNA is filed under the name uncultured bacterium. Its description in RNAcentral is "bacterial SSU rRNA". It matches the Rfam family "Bacterial small subunit ribosomal RNA", at positions 36 to 518 of the family's 1533-position model. The record is from RNAcentral.
CUGGCGGCGUGCUUAACACAUGCAAGUCGAACGCGAAAGGGGACCUCGGUCCUGAGUAAAGUGGCGGCACGGGUGAGUAACGCGUAGAUAACCUGUCUUCAUGUCUGGAAUAAUACGCCAAAGGGGUACUAAUACCGGAUAUUCUUGCUUUUCAUAAGUUAUGCAAGCAAAGGUGGCCUCUGCAUAUGCUACUGCAUGAAGAGGGGUCUGCGUACCAUUAGCUAGUAGGUGGGGUAAUGGCCUACCUAGGCGACGAUGGUUAGCGGGUCUGAGAGGAUGAUCCGCCACACUGGCACUGGAACACGGGCCAGACUCCUACGGGAGGCAGCAGUGAGGAAUAUUGCGCAAUGGGGGAAACCCUGACGCAGCGACGCCGCGUGAGUGAGGAAGGCCUUCGGGUCGUAAAGCUCUGUCAAGAGGAAAGAAGUGUACAAUGGCUAAUACCUGUUGUAUUUGACGGUACCUCUAAAGGAAGCACCGGCUAACUCCGUGCCAGCCGCGGC